UUUUACGCUAUCCAGUGGCCCGAACCUGGGUAAAAACCAUCUGUGUCGCCACCGUCGUGUUGUGUGGCACCCCGGCUUAGAGAAACCGGAACGCCCCGUAUUCCAGCCCAGAGAUCGAGGAGAAGUCUUCUCGAAUAUGGCAAUACUUAGCAUAGAACAAACCAGCUUUCUAUUAUUACAUGAAUAUGAAUACAAGGUCUCCGACAUUACAAUGAAUAACAUCGGCCCGGUGAUACUUCGCCAUCCUCAGUUGCUCUAUGCAAGCAGCAGAACAACUCGAACCAGCGGGAAAACUCUGGCAGCAGAACAAUGAUAACAGUGAUGAACUCCACUCCGCAGGGACUCUGGCUGGAACGCUUAUCCUAGCUCGCAAACAAAGAAUCCACACAAACAAGCAUUCAAAUCCGGCAUGACCUGCAAACUGGCAUGACACGCCAGGUCAGUACAUUGAAUGUACUUGCAAGCUCACAAUAACCAGAAAUAUUCAAGACAAGCAUCAGCAUGGCAUUUACAGGUUAAGCAGGAAUUAACAUGAGAUCCUCAUAACAAUAUGACAUGAACAACAUGAACAUGGUACAACUAGAACAACAUGAGCAUGGCAAGAACAUAUGAAUCUGACGAUACUAGCAUGCAACAUGAUGACACUAUAUGCACCACUAAUUCUGCUCGGGCUACCUCGUAACCAUCACAUGCAUCACUUACCAUCCUCGGACAUCACACGAUCAUCUUAGGAUCAAAUCAAGCUUGGUAAAAACAAUACCGCAGUGAUCAUUAAAUGACCACAAGGAACUUGAUCUUUACCCACGAUUCUCGCACAACAUCCUGAAUAUCCAACAACUCGGUAUCCUAGAUACCAUGGUGAUCAUUCACGAAUCACAAACGGAACCACUCUGGGUUCAACGGGCUACCCCGUAACUAAACGGUGAUCUUUCCGGCGAUCACAACCAUGACCAACACCUGGUCUCAAAUGGUGAUCUUUCCGGCGAUCCCAACCAACCUAUCUCAUCAUCGAACUGGGGUUGUUAUUAAGCACAUUAUUAUUAAUACUGUUGACUCACAGUGUGACCGACACGAACUGGGCCCUUAUCUGCAGGCGCGCUUAUCGAUAGAUUUAAUAUACACUCUGGAGAGGUUAGUACACUGUACCCACACUACGGAACCCAUGGCCUCACACUCCCAUUCGGGUGGACCAACGGCGUUCCGACAAAACCAAUCUACUGUCGUGACAGUCUCCCGGCCACUCCGACCAACUCCCCUUUGGGCUAAGUCCUGGGUGGCCCCGUGCCUACCAAAGGCACCAACGGCCACCGUUGUGGCCAAAACAUAAACGGUCCCAGACAGGGACAACGCGGGUACAACAACAACAAUGGGCACACAAGGUUAUGUCUGCUUACCGGGCCAGGGUACCGCACGCCCAUAACCUUCCCUCCUUGGAGGCACCAGCGAGAGGCAUGCCAAUAGACCGAGUUAGGACCUUCCCAUAAAGGCAAGCGUGGUUGCACUGGUUAUCUCGAUAUGGUGGCACCAUGACUCAGCCAACAGUUGUUCAAGUUCAAUUUAAUCCGGUUAAACUUGAAUGCAAAUAUGCUGAGCCAUGAUAAAAUAACAUGAUGCAAAUUACAAUGCAUGAACAUGAUAUCAACAUAAGCAUGGAGGUGCAACAUAACUAUUAACCAUAUCAACAAUGAAUCAUAUCCAACUGAGCAUGACAUGCUGACUAGCAUGAAUAUCACAAGUACAUACUUCUCAGAAACAUAGCAUGACCACUAGCAUCAACAAUAAAUAUCAUGUAAGAACAUAUCAACAAUGCCAUCAUGCAAGAAUUUAACCAACUGGAUACAAUGGAACAUGCAUAACCACGAUACUCGGGACAAACGACAGUCAUGCACCGAAGACCAUCACAAACAUCAACAUGUACUACUAGCAAGCAUAAUCAUAUUAAAGAAAUACUAGCAACUCGCAAGGCGUGAUAAUCAGGUGCAUAAUAACAUAGCAAGAAAGUAAGCACUAACCCAGAAGCAUUACUAAAACAACGAUAACCAUAUUUUAAACAAGCAAACAUUUUACAAAUAUUCAAGUUGAAAACCAUGACUACUACAUGACUAUCAUGCAAGUGGGUAUUGUGGCUUGCCUAGGGAUGAAGAAAUCACCGGGACAAAGUGUGAGAGGCUUGCGGGAAGAAUUACCGGAAAAACGUUCUCUCUCGGAGGGGCCUGAUUAGGGGCAAGGGCAAGAAGGUCAUUUUCAGAACGUUAAAACGUAGUGAAAAUGAUACCAGCAAAACGGACUCGGCGAGACGAAGAAGUGGGCUUUGGAAUCACCUCAUUUGGAGUUGUGGUUAAAAAGUUAUGGUUGUUUUUCUGCCAGGGACCUAUCUAUAAUGAAAUCAUCACAAACAAGCCCUCAGCCGGAAAAAUAGAAAGCGCCUUCUCAGGAAAUACGUUUUCCAGAACGGAAAGCGUAUUUUGGCUCGAAUAAGAAACAAAAUGCGCUUUCAGUUAGCGUAGGCCUACUCCCUGGAGUACAUCUCCACUUAUCCAGUGUGGCAGUGGGAGGCCGUGGCGCUGAUCGGCUGACGAGUGGGGCCCGCCUUAUCCAUCUCUUUCUCUCUCUCUCUCUUCUCGCCU
RNAcentral lists this long non-coding RNA (2627 nucleotides) under Triticum aestivum (bread wheat). RNAcentral's name for it is "long non-coding RNA (TAES_LNC016561)". Lineage: Eukaryota; Viridiplantae; Streptophyta; Magnoliopsida; Poales; Poaceae. The record is from RNAcentral.